Molecule: ribosomal RNA, 406 nt
Filed under: uncultured bacterium
Lineage: Bacteria
Description: partial 16S ribosomal RNA
Rfam family: Bacterial small subunit ribosomal RNA
Source: RNAcentral
GACGAACGCUGGCGGCGUGCUUAACACAUGCAAGUCGAGCGAAGCGGCGGACGGGUGAGUAACCCGUGAGUAAGCUGCCUUCGACAUUGGGCUAGCCUCGGGAAACCGGAAGUAAUACCAAAUGGUCUAAGAUGGACUCUCGUCCCAUUAGCUAGUUGGUGGGUAACGGCCCACGAAGGAGACGAUGCGUAGCCGGCCCGGGAGGGUGAACGGCAACCUUGGAACUGAGAAACGGUCCAAACUCUGCGAGAGGCAGCAGUGGGGAAUAUUGCACAAUGGAGGAAACUCUGAUGCAGCGACGCCGUGUGAACGAAGAAGGCGUUCGAGUCGUAAAGUUCUUUUAAAUGGGAACCGGUACCAUAAGAAAAAGCCACGGCUAACUACGUGCCAGCAGCCGCGGUAAUUC